RNAcentral lists this long non-coding RNA (1279 nucleotides) under Heterocephalus glaber (naked mole-rat). Its description in RNAcentral is "lncRNA (ENSHGLG00000035313.1)". Lineage: Eukaryota; Metazoa; Chordata; Mammalia; Rodentia; Bathyergidae. The record is from RNAcentral.
GCAGAAAGAGGAAAUGGAAAUUUGAUUUCUUGCUAGGAAUCCGCAAACAGAAGUUCGCGUUGCUUGGUUUGCUGAGUAAUUGUAGAGGAACCUUGCUUUUUGGGCGCGCAAGCGGGGCCGCUUACACGGGAAAUGUUUGCCCACGACUUGGCUCUUCACACUGUUUGCUUCUCUGUGUUACUGUUCAGUGACUACGUAAAGGUUUAAAUGACCCAGGCCCUCUGGUGUGCUUUAGAGUUGCCGCCAGAGUAAACCCUUGUGCCUUUAUGGAGCACAGAGACUGUUUACGGAGCGUCCCUUACUCCCACCCCUAAGCUUUGCUGUGCUCGAAGAGUCCACCUGUGCACAGCUGUACGUCACCAUCACUACUUGACGUUACAAGUGAACACUUGUUACCUAUCAGGUUAUGUGAUUGCGAAGUGCUUUCAGCUUCCAGCUUUCAGGGCUGUGCUCAACUGAUCAGGGCGGGAAACAAGAGUAUAGAGUUGCCAGGCCUGCUGGAUUUUCAAGAGAAAAAUUUUUGUGACUUCCUGUUUGAAAAUAUCAGCAGUGUAAUUCAAUUCAAGCACAGAAGGUCAAACAAGAAAUCACUGCAGGUUCACAGAAGUAAGCUGAGCUACUGGAGGAAGAUCUAGAUUCCAUUCUUUUAAGUACAGUGAGAACCGGGAAGAAAGAGUAGAAGGAAGCAGAAUUUAGCAAGCCGCUUGCCGCACCCGUCCAGCUCGUCGGGAGUGUGGUACUGGACUGCAUUUGCUGGGAGGGCAGGUUUCCCUGGGCCUUCACCGGGUCCCCUGGGGUCUCUGGGUGCUGGCCCAUGCGCUAGCGACAGCACAAUCCUCAGGAAGGGGCGGGCUGGCUGGGGGGGGGGGUGCUCACCCAGAGAAGUGGGGCGAAAGGGAAGCCGCCCUGGGACCUGGCCUCCACCCACAGCCGGCACAAGUGUUGAGAGCUCCCAAACCUCGAGAGGCCAGGCAGGUGACAGCAAGGCUGGUGGGGGAGCUGGGCCUGCGCCCGUCUGGUGGCCGGGCUUCGUUUCCAUGGCUGCGGUGUUACCGUCAGUUAAAGCGGCAGAAACUGGGCGGAGCACGGAUUGCGUGAGGUUCCAUCGCGCCAGCACUGAGGAGCAAUCACUCGCUGAUGGGCCAGCCACACCGCCUCCCUGGUGAACUUUCCUCUAAGAGCAAAGGCCCUUCGGGGGCCCAGUGCUUCUCCUAAGCCAUCCUUUCUUGCACCUGCUCCCCCUCCCCCAGCCUCCUUCAUUCAUGUUAUUAAAAUUUGG